AUUGAACGCUGGCGGCAUGCCUUACACAUGCAAGUCGGACGAGUGGCGUACGGGUGAGUAAUAUCUCGGAACCUACCGCGUAACGGGGGAUAACUAAUCGAAAGAUUAGCUAAUACCGCAUACUAUUCGAGCGGCCGAUAUCUGAUUAGCUGGUUGGUGGGGUAACGGCGUACCAAGGCGACGAUCAGUAGCGGGUCUGAGAGGAUGAUCAGCCACACUGGAACUGAGACACGGUCCAAACUCCUACGGGAGGAGGCAGUGGGGAAUUGUGGACAAGGGGCGCAGGCCUGAUCCAGCCAUGCCGCGUGUAUGAAGAAGGCCUUCGGGUUGUAAAGGACUUUCGUCAGGGAGGCGGUACCUGAAGAAUAAGCACCGGCUAACUACGGGCCAGCAGCCGCGGUAAUUC
RNAcentral lists this ribosomal RNA (406 nucleotides) under uncultured bacterium. RNAcentral's name for it is "partial 16S ribosomal RNA". It matches the Rfam family "Bacterial small subunit ribosomal RNA", at positions 30 to 526 of the family's 1533-position model. The record is from RNAcentral.